UCCUGCAAGGGUUACACGCCUAAUGAACAUGUCGCGAGCGCGGCACGUGCACACGUAAGCCACAAAUCCCGUAUCCAGAGUCCAACAUCGGCAAUUAUUUUUACGAUUGACCCUAGCGUCUCUAGCAGGAGACGGCCAGGGACGGUAUUGAUGUCAUGACAAAGAGGAGAAUAAGGGAGAAGAAAGGAGAAAGGGAUGCGAAGGAAAAUGGAGUGUGCGGCGAGCUCAAAGCAUCUGUGCGGGUUCCCCAGAAAGCUGGUAUUCAUGGCAGCAGGAGCAUUCGCCAAGGCCAUCACCUGUCACCUCAACUCCACUUCCGUUCACAACCCCGAAACCCUAAUCCGUCUCGUCCGAUGCCGUCCCCCUUCGACUCCCCUCAUCACCGUCAGCAAUCACAUGUCCACGUUGGAUGAUCCACUCAUGUGGGGAUUCAGGGGUUUCCCAUCAGCAGAUGCAAGACUAGCACGGUGGGUUCUAGCAGCAGAUGACAUAUGCUUCAAAAAUACAGUUUUGUCAUACUUCUUUCGACUCGGAAAAUGCAUACCGAUUACAAGGGGUGGGGGGAUUUAUCAGGAACAUAUGAAUGAAGCUCUUGACCGCUUGAGUGAAGGUGGUUGGCAGCUGCAUACAUUUCCAGAAGGAAAAGUAUCCCAAGAGAAUGAGCCUAUUAGACGGUUAAAAUGGGGAACUGCCAGUCUUAUUGAACGAGCACCAGUAACUCCAGUAGUUUUGCCUAUCGUUCAUUGUGGUUUUGAAAAGGUGAUGCCUGAGAAAUCUUUCUUUGGCAGAAGGCCGCCACUCCCUCUUUGCAAGAAGGAUAUCAGAAUUAUCAUCGGAGAGCCAAUAGAAUUUGACCUUCCAAGAUUAAGGCAGGCAGCAAAAUCCCUGUCUCGAGAAAUGUCUUACCCAAGUGUUGGAUGGCCCACCAAUUCCCAUGGACUCGAUGAGGCAGCACAGAGGUGGCUAUACACCAACAUCUCGGAUCAGAUCGGAACUGUCAUGGAGAGCUUGCGUAUCACCCUUAAGAAAUUCAAGGUAUGAACUGAUGGACCAUUGAGGGAAUAUAUGAUGCAGCCAUUAUGAAGAUAAAAUGGAACUUUGGUGUUAAACAAUUUUGACUCAUGCUUAGUGAGUCUAAAGUAUUGAUUCAGCAGCGACUGCAACUUUAGCUUGUAUCCAGAUAAGGAUGCGCUGGUAUCAUUUCUUCAGGAAUUAUUUUAAACCUGAGGAGCAAACCCAAAUGGAUGGGACAAGGCUAUGAUGAUGAUCUGAGUAUUUUAUCAGCAGCGUCAAGCAUCGUGUUGUGCCUUGUCCCAACUACUGAAGGCAUUUACUUGCACAGUAAAGAUGCUGUCCUGGUCUUUAUCUCUUGUAAACAUUGUAACUUGAUUAGAAACAGGCAUGUGUUGGCAUUGGGCA
Magnolia sinica is the source of this 1419-nucleotide RNA transcript. It is a transcript of the gene named N-acylphosphatidylethanolamine synthase, with no coding region annotated. NCBI's taxonomy places the organism in Eukaryota, Viridiplantae, Streptophyta, Magnoliopsida, Magnoliales, Magnoliaceae. The record is from RefSeq and is a predicted model, not a curated record. The transcript has 6 exons.